Molecule: transfer RNA, 85 nt
Filed under: Methylacidiphilales bacterium
Lineage: Bacteria; Pseudomonadati; Verrucomicrobiota; Methylacidiphilae; Methylacidiphilales
Description: Candidatus Methylacidiphilales bacterium tRNA-Leu
Rfam family: tRNA
About the family: Transfer RNA (tRNA) molecules are approximately 80 nucleotides in length. Their secondary structure includes four short double-helical elements and three loops (D, anti-codon, and T loops). Further hydrogen bonds mediate the characteristic L-shaped molecular structure. tRNAs have two regions of fundamental functional importance: the anti-codon, which is responsible for specific mRNA codon recognition, and the 3' end, to which the tRNAs corresponding amino acid is attached (by aminoacyl-tRNA synthetases). tRNAs cope with the degeneracy of the genetic code in two manners: having more than one tRNA (with a specific anti-codon) for a particular amino acid; and 'wobble' base-pairing, i.e. permitting non-standard base-pairing at the 3rd anti-codon position.
Source: RNAcentral
GCCGAGGUGGCGGAACUGGUAGACGCGCUAGUUUCAGGUAUUAGUGAGGAAACUCAUGGAGGUUCAAGUCCUCUCCUCGGCACCA